Molecule: ribosomal RNA, 468 nt
Filed under: uncultured bacterium
Lineage: Bacteria
Description: partial 16S ribosomal RNA
Rfam family: Bacterial small subunit ribosomal RNA
Source: RNAcentral
GACGAACGCUGGCGGCGUGCUUAACACAUGCAAGUCGAACGGAAAGGCCCUGCUUUUGUGGGGUGCUCGAGUGGCGAAAGGGUGAGUAACACGUGAGUAACCUGCCCUUGACUUUGGGAUAACUUCAGGAAACUGGGGCUCAUACCGGAUAUGAGCUCCUGCUGCAUGGUGGGGGUUGGAAAGUUUCGGCGGUUGGGGAUGGACUCGCGGCUUAUCAGCUUGUUGGUGGGGUAGUGGCUUACCAAGGCUUUGACGGGUAGCCGGCCUGAGAGGGUGACCGGCCACAUUGGGACUGAGGUACGGACCAGAAUCCUACGGGAGGCAGCGGUGGGGAAUAUUGCACAAUGGGCGGAAGCCUGAUGCAGCAACGCCGCGUGCGGGAUGACGGCCUUCGGGUUGUAAACCGCUUUCGCCUGUGACGAAGCGUGAGUGACGGUAAUGGGUAAAGAAGCACCGGCUAACUACGUG